AUCUAUGGCCAUGCCACUCUGAACAUACCCGAUCUCGUCUGAUUUCAGAAGCUAAGCAGUGUCAAGUCUGGUUAGUACUUGAAUGGGAGACCACCUAGGAAGACCAGGUGCUAUAUGCU
RNAcentral lists this ribosomal RNA (119 nucleotides) under Pteropus alecto (black flying fox). Lineage: Eukaryota; Metazoa; Chordata; Mammalia; Chiroptera; Pteropodidae. The record is from RNAcentral.